AUGAACGCUGGCGGCGUGCCUAAUCCCUGCAAGUCGAGCGAACGGACGAGAAGCUUGCUUCUCUGAUGUUAGCGGCGGACGGGUGAGUAACACGUGGAUAACCUACCUAUAAGACUGGGAUAACUUCGGGAAACCGUAGCUAAUACCGGAUAAUAUUUUGAACCGCAUGGUUCAAAAGUGAAAGACGGUCUUGCUGUCACUUAUAGAUGGAUCCGCGCUGCAUUAGCUAGUUGGUAAGGUAACGGCUUACCAAGGCAACGAUGCAUAGCCGACCUGAGAGGGUGAUCGGCCACACUGGAACUGAGACACGGUCCAGACUCCUACGGGAGGCAGCAGUAGGGAAUCUUCCGCAAUGGGCGAAAGCCUGACGGAGCAACGCCGCGUGAGUGAUGAAGGUCUUCGGAUCGUAAAACUCUGUUAUUAGGGAAGAACAUAUGUGUAAGUAACUGUGCACAUCUUGACGGUACCUAAUCAGAAAGCCACGGCUAACUACGUG
RNAcentral lists this ribosomal RNA (496 nucleotides) under uncultured bacterium. Its description in RNAcentral is "partial 16S ribosomal RNA". It matches the Rfam family "Bacterial small subunit ribosomal RNA", at positions 29 to 507 of the family's 1533-position model. The record is from RNAcentral.